GACGAACGCUGGCGGCGUGCUUAACACAUGCAAGUCGAACGGAAAGGCCCUGCUUUUGUGGGGUGCUCGAGGGGCGAACGGGUGAGUAACACGUGAGUAACCUGCCCUUGACUUUGGGAUAACUUCAGGAAACUGGGGCUAAGACCGGAUAGGAUCUCCCGCUCCAGGGUGGGGGUUGGAAAGUCUCGGCGGGUGGGGAUGGACUCGCGGCUUACCAGCUAGCUGGUUGGGGAGUGGUAUACCCAGGCAUUGGCGGAUCACCGGCAUGAGAGGGUGAACGGGCUCCAGGCGACUGCGAGAGGCCCCAGAGUCGAACGGUGGGCAGUAGGCGCGAGUCUGACACAGUCAGCGGAAGUGUGAGGCGGAGGCGUCCGGGUCGUGAUGACGGCCUGUGGGUUGUAAACCGCUUUAGCCUGUGACGAAGCGGGAGUGACGGUACUGGGUGAAGAAGCACCGGCUAACUACGUG
RNAcentral lists this ribosomal RNA (468 nucleotides) under uncultured bacterium. Its description in RNAcentral is "partial 16S ribosomal RNA". It matches the Rfam family "Bacterial small subunit ribosomal RNA", at positions 28 to 507 of the family's 1533-position model. The record is from RNAcentral.